This is a non-coding RNA of Phrynosoma platyrhinos (Desert horned lizard), 72 nucleotides long. The record is from the annotation of a GenBank genome assembly. Lineage: Eukaryota; Metazoa; Chordata; Lepidosauria; Squamata; Phrynosomatidae.
GCCAGCAUAGUGUAGUGGUUUGAACAUUGGACUGUAACUGUGGAGACUAGGGUUUGAUUCCCUGCUCAGCCA